Gallus gallus (chicken) is the source of this 4305-nucleotide long non-coding RNA. RefSeq lists it as uncharacterized. Lineage: Eukaryota; Metazoa; Chordata; Aves; Galliformes; Phasianidae. The record is from RefSeq and is a predicted model, not a curated record. The transcript has 2 exons.
GGCGGGCAGCGCGGAGCGGAGCUUUGGCGUCUCCAUCCCUUUCCCUCAAACUUGGUCUUUGUACUGUUGGUUUCUUUCUUUCUUUCUUUCUUUCUUUUUCCUCUUUUUAUUUUUUUCCUCUUUCUCCAGUAAAUAAUUAAGCCCUCACCGGCAACACAGUGGUGGCUUAACAGAAAUAACUGAAACGAUUUCGCUUUUGCAUGCCCAUCCUCUCCCUUCAACAUCCAAAAACCGCGAUGCUGUUUGCACUGUGCUGUUUGCACAGCCCCUCGCUCCUCUGCCUUUCAUAGAUGUGCCAGUAGAAAUAUCUCUCUCUCUGCUUUUGUAAGAUUAGAAAUGAAUACGACAUUCCCACCCACUUUCGGGAGAAAAAUGGAUAGAAACUGGUAUUGAUGCAGCUCGAAUUUAACCCUGCCGGACAGAUCUGCUGCCUUCCUCUAAAUGUCGGAUACAAUCAGACUUCCUUAUGGAAAUAGGUAAUCAAAAUAAUGGUUAUCUCACUUCAAAACAAGAGGACCGAUGAGUCACCCCAGGAAUACGAAUGAGCAGGUGGAGGAGCGCUGUUAGGACAUCGUUCAGGUGACUGCAUGACCAAUAGCAACUUGGAUGUGGGCAUGGCAGAACUCAGCCCAGCCAGGUGGUACGCAGCCCCUGGGGAAGGUGCUGAAGCUUCUGGCUGCACCAAAAAGCAGUGUGCAGGUGUGCAUGGCCAGAAUAUCCUGCCUACAGCCAGGAAAACCAGGAGCCUGUGAACGCUCGGUAAAAACAAAACUUUCCUAUGCUAACUUAGCCAUUCUUCUCCCAGAAAGAAUACUUUUCAAGUUCCUGAAGAGCAGUUAGCUCUAAUCAAGAAGGGCAAUAUCAAACUGAACUUUACAGAAUGAAGUAACAAAAGGUUCUACACGCAGAGACACUUCCAGACCAGAAAUAGGAGGGCUCCAGCAAAAGACAUACAAUCAUGCUAUGCUCACUGCCUCUGCAUUUCAAGGAAGGUCUCCCUCAAAAUUCCCGUGACAUAAUCACAUACAGCUGACUGCUCUCUAUCCCCAGAGAAAGGAAACAACGCCAACAAGCUUUGAUGUGAGUGCACACCGAGGGGAACUAUGCAGAGUAACCACAGGGCUCAGCCUUCAUCACGUUGUCAGCUCUCUGUCAAUUAUUUGGACACACAACUGGAAACCACGCAAAGGAGGUAUUUUUAUUCACUCUGCUACUCUGUCUGUUUCCAGAAGAGGGAGCCAAGCCAUGAGAAAAUGCAGCCAAAAAUCAGAAACAUCCUUCAGUCUGUUACGAGGGGUGUGUAUGGAUAUUAAUAGUGUGCACGUGUAGAGUUCCGUUAAAUCCGGGUAGGAGGGGAAACGAGUGCUGAUGGAAGUACAGAAGUGAAAUGUAUGUCAUGAGGCCGAGAGUACAGAAGAGCUGAGGGCUUGGGCAUGGUACUGCAACCACAGGAUAUGAGAAAGAGUAAUAGGUUCACAUGUUCCAUAAAAGGCAACUGUCAUCUCCUGAAGGGAAACUCCAAUUGCAGUUUGCAAGGGACAACUCUGCUCACAAGGUUUACUGGGCCAUCUUCACCAUCACUUGAUGGCAGAAACUGAUGCUCACCACUCACAAUGUUUGUAAGUGGAAAAGAGAUGCACAGUGUGGCCAAGAAGCCACCACAAGUUGCUCUGAAGACAGGCUUAGAGCAAAAUAUGACUCCUACUCCAUUGAUAUUCAGGUAAUUACCUGAAGGGUGCUUUCAGCUGCUGCUAACAGGUCCAGCAGCCCAUGAAGAUCAGACACACAGGGAUCACGCUCCAACUCAAUUUAAUAAGCUUCAGAAUGAACUUGGAUAGAAAAUGGUUUGAAAUAAGUUGAGCACCACUCAUCUACUAGUCAAGGUUGAUUUUUUGUUUUUUGUCUUAAGUAGUGCUUUUAAGCUUAGACUCAAGCAUAAAAAGCAUAAAGGUUAUAAAUUAAAAACAAUAAAAUCAUCCUAGAAUAAUGUAAUGGUCUCACCUAUAUGCACAAGGAGUGGAAAGGAGACAGAAUUAUGUCCAGGUAACUUCACACAUUUUUAAUGCUACAUAAGUGCUCUCCACAUUCAUUUCAACGUUUCUUUUAAUGCGGGUGGAAGGAGCAGAAAGUGUUGCAAUGAAAUCAUCUCAAGAUUGAGAGGUACUUCUCCCAGUUCCAAGCUCUGGGUGUUCUCCUCUUCAAAGGUCUUGAGAGGAAAUGCUUUACUUAAAACUCUGCUGUUAGUUUAUGGUUUCAGCAGCCUCUGGUUUUUCAGCUAUAUAAAUUAAACAGUUCAGUAACUUUUUCCCAGAAACUACUGCCAGUAUUUCAUCUUCACAGAAACGCAUUAUCCCUAACCCUUCACAAAUGACUCCAUUGUACAACAGAAGCAACCAGUUUAGCUUAGAGCGGACAGGCAGAAAAGAAACAUGGUAACAGCCAAGAGACAGCUAUUAAGGAGACAAUUUUGGAGAAGGAAUGAGAUUCAUAGCCUAAUCAAAACACAUUUCAAAUAAAGUCUUUUGGCAGAGGUUUGUAAGACAAGAUAUUUUACAACUCAACUUCUUUGUGUUCAUAGCAUUAAUGAAAAGAAGAUAAUCUUACGUGCUUUCAGCAAAAGAAAGGCUGAGGGAAGAAUGAGUGCAGUGUACCACAUUUGUUUGCCACCAUUGAGUUUGGAACAAAUCUUCAUACAAAAGUUACUCUCAUAUUAUUCUAAAUUAAGUGAAAAAAAAAUAUGUAUUUUAACGCUAAAGCAAACUGUUCAAAGUGGCAUUUAAUAGCAUUUGUUAAAGUGGUUAUCUAACAAAAAUGGGUUAACAAAAUCCCAUUCAUUAGUAGUCACCAAAUAAGACAUUUCUCAUGCAUAUGACAAAAGUCCAUUCGUGUACUGACAGAGGUCUGUUUACUGUGUACAAUAUUUCCAUAAAUUAUAAUGUUUCACAGCCCCUACCAUUCAAGAAUAUUUCAAACAGAUUAUAUAUUAUAUUUGUAUAUGCAAACUAUUUUAUAUACACUAAUAUAAAGAUCCUUAGAAGUACCAUUAUGACUACCUUUAUGCUUUCUCUAAAAUGCAUAGCUUUCGAAUAUUUUCUUGCAGUUACCAAAAAACUUUACAGAUUAAAGCUGCUUAUCAAUGUGGCAUGUUCAUAAAAACAAAGUGAAAUAGUACUGUACUAACUUUAUAUUAAACCCCUUAAAAAACAUGUUUUUUUAAUGGAAAAAAACCAAGCUAGUGAAAAUUCAAGUAAUCUAUGCUCACUCUUUGCCCAAAUACUAUGUGAAAUUAACGUAGCAUUCCAGAAGUACAGUGAACUUCUCAACCAGGACUGUAAUACUGCAUUUCUCAUGGAGAAAAAUGCUAGUCAUGCCACAAAACCGCACUGCUUUCCACUUCAUCUGGGAGAAGCUUUAGAUGAGAUUUAGCAUGUAAGCAUCAAAACAGAGGAAAGCUUGAUCAGUUACAUAUGAAGAAAUUAGAGCUAUUCCAGUUUUGUUUCUGCAGUUUGUUAUUAAACAAAGUGACAUUAACCACACAGUUUCUCACAAACUAAAAGUUAUACAUGGUUUUCAGACAUCAACCGAAUGGGAAAAGGAAAAAAAAAAAAAAAAAAAAAAAAAGAAGGAAAAAGAACUCAACUGUUAAAAUUUUGGUGUUAAAAUAACCAGUCUGGGAGAAGGAAAGCCAAACCACUGCUGUAGUUGGGGGCAACUGAUAGCUUGCUUGUUACAUAUAAACUUCGAGACCUCCAUGCCACAAAAUGCCUUAAAAGUGCAGAACAAAACUAUCAGUAAUAAAUGAGAACAACUCAUUUUGUUAUAUCCAUCAUCUAGCUUUAACUUAGUGCUCUGCAUCUCUAAUAGCUGCUUAACAAACAAUGGAUUCCCCUCACAAAAAAAUAGCUACACAAGUAAACAGUGUUCACAGUAAUGCAAUCAGUAACAGGUUUUUUUUUUUUUUUUAGUUUCCUUAAGUCAGGUGUAUCUGCAAAGCUUUAUACAGUUUAAUGCAUAAGUAUUCCAGUAAAAUUAAGUGAAAACUAAGUUUCAUUCUACAGGGUAAUAUCUACCAUACAAGACUAGAUUAUGUACAGUAUGGGACUGGUAUGACAACUGUCAGUGCAUCGUGAUGUUCAGCUAUUUCACCCACCACAUCGGUCUUUGUUCAACAAAUCGUUAAUAACUUGAUAUACAGACCUAAAAACCUACAGAUUGAUUUGGCAAGAUUAAUGCUUACUACCACUGGAUAUACACCAGUGAACAGUGCUGCAAAAUUAAGUUGACCUGAACAUCCCAUACCCACAA